UGCCAGCAGCCGCGGUAACACGGGGGGCUCAAGCGUUAUUCGGAAUUAUUGGGCGUAAAGGGCGCGUAGGCGGCCUUGUCGGUCAGGUGUGAAAGCCCGGGGCUCAACCCCGGACGUGCAUUGGAAACUGGCGAACUUGAGUACGGGAGAGGAAAGUGGAAUUCCGAGUGUAGGGGUGAAAUCCGUAGAUAUUCGGAGGAACACCAGUGGCGAAGGCGGCUUUCUGGACCGAUACGUGACGCUGAGACGCGAAAGCGUGGGGAGCAAACAGGAUUAGAUA
RNAcentral lists this ribosomal RNA (280 nucleotides) under uncultured bacterium. RNAcentral's name for it is "partial 16S ribosomal RNA". It matches the Rfam family "Bacterial small subunit ribosomal RNA", at positions 506 to 784 of the family's 1533-position model. The record is from RNAcentral.